RNAcentral lists this ribosomal RNA (481 nucleotides) under uncultured bacterium. RNAcentral describes it as "partial 16S ribosomal RNA". It matches the Rfam family "Bacterial small subunit ribosomal RNA", at positions 28 to 507 of the family's 1533-position model. The record is from RNAcentral.
GAUGAACGCUGGCGGCGUGCUUAACACAUGCAAGUCGAACGAAGCAUUUAAGACAGAUUACUUCGGUUUGAAGUCUUUUAUGACUGAGUGGCGGACGGGUGAGUAACGCGUGGGUAACCUGCCUCAUACAGGGGGAUAGCAGCUGGAAACGGCUGGUAAUACCGCAUAAGCGCACAGUACCACAUGGUACAGUGUGAAAAACUCCGGUGGUAUGAGAUGGACCCGCGUCUGAUUAGCUUGUUGGCGGGGUAACGGCCCACCAAGGCGACGAUCAGUAGCCGACCUGAGAGGGUGACCGGCCACAUUGGGACUGAGACACGGCCCAGACUCCUACGGGAGGCAGCAGUGGGGAAUAUUGCACAAUGGAGGAAACUCUGAAGCAGCGACGCCGCGUGAGUGAAGAAGUAGUUCGCUAUGUAAAGCUCUAUCAGCAGGGAAGAUAGUGACGGUACCUGACUAAGAAGCUCCGGCUAAAUACGUG